RNAcentral lists this small RNA (114 nucleotides) under Marmota monax (woodchuck). The record is from RNAcentral. Lineage: Eukaryota; Metazoa; Chordata; Mammalia; Rodentia; Sciuridae.
GCUGGGCUCAGUGGUGUGCACCUGUAAUCCCAGCAGCUUGGGAGGCUGAGGCAGGAUUAAAGCCAGCCUCAGCAAUGGCAAGGCACUAAGCAAGUCAGUGAGACCCUGUCUCUA